This 253-nucleotide ribosomal RNA is filed under the name uncultured bacterium. Its description in RNAcentral is "partial 16S ribosomal RNA". It matches the Rfam family "Bacterial small subunit ribosomal RNA", at positions 524 to 776 of the family's 1533-position model. The record is from RNAcentral.
UACAGAGGGGGCAAGCGUUGUUCGGAAUUACUGGGCGUAAAGGGCGCGUAGGUGGCCUUCUAAGUCGAACGUGAAAUCCCUGGGCUCAACCCAGGAACUGCGUCCGAUACUGGAAGGCUUGAAUCCGGGAGAGGGAUGCGGAAUUCCAGGUGUAGCGGUGAAAUGCGUAGAUAUCUGGAGGAACACCGGUGGCGAAGGCGGCGUCCUGGACCAACACUGACACUGAUGAGCGAAAGCCAGGGGAGCAAACGGG